UACGGAGGAUGCAAGCGUUAUCCGGAUUUAUUGGGCGUAAAGCGUCCGCAGGUGGUUUUUCAAGUCUGCUGUUAAAGCGCGAGGCUUAACUUCGUACAGGCAGUGGAAACUGGAAGACUUGAGUAUGGUAGGGGUAGCGGGAAUUCCCAGUGUAGCGGUGAAAUGCGUAGAUAUUGGGAAGAACACCAGCGGCGAAAGCGCGCUACUGGGCCAUUACUGACACUCAUGGACGAAAGCUAGGGGAGCGAAAGGG
RNAcentral lists this ribosomal RNA (253 nucleotides) under uncultured bacterium. RNAcentral describes it as "partial 16S ribosomal RNA". It matches the Rfam family "Bacterial small subunit ribosomal RNA", at positions 524 to 776 of the family's 1533-position model. The record is from RNAcentral.